GCUCCUCCCUUACACUGAGAAGUUGUCCGUGCAAAUCGGACUGUCCUGAC
This 50-nucleotide transfer RNA is filed under the name Acropoma japonicum. RNAcentral describes it as "partial tRNA-Val". Lineage: Eukaryota; Metazoa; Chordata; Actinopteri; Acropomatiformes; Acropomatidae. The record is from RNAcentral.